GACGAACGCUGGCUGCGUGCUUAACACAUGCAAGUCGAACGGAAAGGCCCUCCUUUUCUGGGGUGCUCGAGUGGCGAACGGGUGAGUAACACGUGAGUAACCUGCCCUUGACUUUAGGAUAACUUCAUGAAAUUGGGGCUAAUACCCUAUAGGCGCUUCUGCUGCAUCGUGGGGAUUGGAAAGUUUCGGCGGAUGGGGAUGGACUCGCGGCUUAUCAGCGUGUUGGUGGUGUAGUGGCGGACCAAGGCUUUGACGGGUACCCGGCCUGAGAGGGGGAACGGCAACAGGGGGAAUGAGGUACGGGACAGACUACUACGGGAGGAAGCAGAGGGGAAGAUUGCACAAGGGGCGGAAGCAUGGUGCAGCAACGCCGCGUGCGGGAUGACGGACUUCGGGUAGUAAACCGCAAACGCCGGUGACGGUGAGUGAGUGACGGUAAUGGGUAAAGAAGCACCGGCUAACUACGUG
RNAcentral lists this ribosomal RNA (468 nucleotides) under uncultured bacterium. Its description in RNAcentral is "partial 16S ribosomal RNA". It matches the Rfam family "Bacterial small subunit ribosomal RNA", at positions 28 to 507 of the family's 1533-position model. The record is from RNAcentral.